Molecule: long non-coding RNA, 1420 nt
Filed under: Chinchilla lanigera (long-tailed chinchilla)
Lineage: Eukaryota; Metazoa; Chordata; Mammalia; Rodentia; Chinchillidae
Description: lncRNA (ENSCLAG00000028599.1)
Source: RNAcentral
AUGGAGCGGGCCUCGCCCCUGAGCCCCGCAGCCCGUGCUUUGCGCCCCGCCCCCGCCCCCAGCAGAGCGCUGGGGGUCCAGCGGCCAGCCCCGCCCGCGUUUGUCCGGGGCGCUCUAGGGCCUCGGUCUCCUGGAGACGCAAGCGGAACACUGCUGAUGCUCAGUGCCGCGGCCGCGUCUGGACACCGACCUUGUAGCUGCUCCUCCCGCUCUCUUGAUUGGCCCCUCCCUCCGACUCACCACUGCUCCCCUGCGGCCCCAGGACCCUGGCUCUUAGUGUCUCACCCUAUCCCUAACCCGCCCCCCAGCGACCCCGCAGCCGCUCUCCACCCACCCGGACGAAGCCCUGGAUAUGCGGGCGUCGCCUCCCCCAACCCGGCAAGUGCUGGGCCGCGAAGUCUCCAUCGAAGGCCUCCGCGGGUCAGCACGGAAGUCCUCCCAGCUGGUGCUGCCUGCCCUGGGGCGAAGAAAAAAAAAAGGCCCGCAGAAAUGAGGAGUUCACCACCUCUUCUCCAAGAUGAAGCCCUUGAAAAAUGGUGUGGCCCCAGACGGGAUCUCCACCUUCAAGAUCAUCACCUGGACCAGAGGAUUACAACUCACUCACCACAUCCAGCUUCACCUAGAGGCUUCCCAGGUACAAGAAGACUGCCACAGAGCUGGAAGAUGCUCUGGACCAAGCUAGAACAGCCCUACAGAAAAUGUAGGAACUGCUUCUUUUUAAAAAGACUGCUUUUUUCUUAAUACAUCUGUAAAGGUUUUUAAUUUGUCUCAUCUCUGGUCAAGUUGAGAUUUUUAAGAAUAUCAUUUUUAAUUUGUAAUAAAACUUUAAACUUGAUUUUUUUUUUCAAAAAGUCAAAAAAGUGCAAGCACCUGUUAAGAAAAAUUUUAAUAAAAAAAGAAAGUUUACCCAGACCUCAGACCCUCUGCCACUCCUUCCUUGAAUAACUGUUUAAAGCUAUCUUUCAAAGUUUCCAGAUAUAUGAACUUUUUUCCUUCAUAUCUUCCAUGAUUGAUUUCCAAUCCAAUCGCAUUUGUGGUCAAACAGUGAGGCUGCAUGACACCAAUCACUUGAAACUUUUCAGCUACCUUUAUGACCUUGCCCUGGCAAGUGUCAUAAAUGUUUUACAUGGCUUCAAAAGCAUUCUGCUCUCCAGUGCUGGGCGCAGUGGUCCAUGCCUACCCAUCAGCUCGGGCUCAUUCGCUGUGCUGUCACUUCUUCUACACCCCUGCCACAAUGUUUUUCCUACCUGAUAUAGUAACAGCUGAGGCAAGAGUGGUACAAUAUCACAGCUUAUUUGUUCAUUUCUCAUAAUUCUGUGACGUUCUGCUUUACGCAUUUUGGAACCACGAUUUAGCUGUAUGUCAGUUCAGAGCUGUUAUCUUUUUCUAGUGAAAUAAACAUUUUAAACUCGUAGCAAUU